GUCUUUUUGAUUAUAAUUUAAAGUCUAACCUGCCCACUGAAUAUUUUGAAGGGCCGCGGUAUUUUGACUGUGCAAAGGUAGCAUAAUCAUUAGUCUUUUAAUUGGAGGCUUGUAUGAAUGGUUGGAUGAGGUAUUAACUGUCUCAAUUUAAUAAAUAAUAGAAUUUUAUUUUUAAGUUAAAAAGCUUAAAUUUUAUUAAAAGACGAGAAGACCCUAUAGAUCUUUAUAAUUAAUUUUAUAAUAAUUUUUUAGAUUAAAUUUAUUUUUAUAAGAUAAAUUAUUAUAUUGGGGUGAUAAAAAAAUUUAUAAAACUUUUUUUAUAUUAAAACAAUGAUAUUUGAUUAAUUGAUCCAUUUUUUGUGAUUAUAAGAUUAAGUUACCUUAGGGAUAACAGCGUAAUUUUUUUGGAGAGUUCAUAUCGAUAAAAAAGAUUGCGACCUCGAUGUUGAAUUAAAGGUUGAUUUUAGGUGUAGAAGUUUAAAAUUUUGGUCUGUUCGACCAUUAAAUC
RNAcentral lists this ribosomal RNA (508 nucleotides) under Parachauliodes continentalis. RNAcentral's name for it is "partial large subunit ribosomal RNA". It matches the Rfam family "Bacterial large subunit ribosomal RNA", at positions 1830 to 2594 of the family's 2925-position model. Lineage: Eukaryota; Metazoa; Arthropoda; Insecta; Megaloptera; Corydalidae. The record is from RNAcentral.